GGGACGCUUGUCGCUGGAUAUCUUAAUGGAUUUGCAGUCAGGAAAUGCCUUGCUCGGAAGGGCUGGCCUUCUGCUGCCGUGAUGGCCGUGCUAUGCCUUGUCGGUGUGGGGAGGACAGGGUCUCUGUUCACGCUGUAGCUCUGCAGGGCAGGACCUGUUGAUAGAUGGGGACUAUCAGGUGGCCGGCCCCGCUCUCCAGGGAGCCGUGCCCUGCCUCUUUGUCUAGCCACAUGGAAUGCAGCGGGCUUGAAUGGUGGGAAACGGCGGUGGGGACUCGAGGCUGCUGGGACCAGUCUCUGGCUUGCAAAGACCAUGGGGGUGCUUGUGGGCUUGGCUGAGGAUUGGGUCCGCCUUAGCCGUGAAGACCAGCUGUUGGGCAGGGCAGGGCGACCGUGCUCCUCUCUGCCGGCAGACUGCAAAGGAGGCUCCAAACAGCCGCCUGUGUCUGUGGCGUUGGUCCACAAAGUGCAUGGGGAAUCUUGCCCACAGGUGGGGCGUGCCUAAUGGUUAGCUUGCAUCCCAGCAGCACAACUUGCGCUCUUCCCCAUUCGGCACCCCCGCUGGCUUUGGCAGUGUUCAUGAUGUGGCAUGUGGAAGGUGGUGGCUGAGGACAGACGGAGCCACAUCAAAAGUGCUGCCACUGUGGCCUCUAAGCAAGCACACUCUUGCCUCGCAUGGACCCAAUCCUCCUCCUCCCCAGAACCGGGGCCGAGGAAACACAGGAGGGCUGUUCACACCAUCAAGAACUGGCCAGCAUCCUGCCCAGCUCUGGGUGCUGGGCACACUCCCAUUUUGCGAUUGUGGAUGAGCAAGCCACUAGGCAGAGGAAGAGGGUGAUGCUCUAAGAGAGGAGCUGGGGAGGGAGGCCUUUCCUUCUGCCCUGCUGGUUUGAAGAUUCACACCCAUCCUCUCCUGCUUUUCUCCCAAGCGUUCUUCAUUCCAGCAGCCUAUUUUUUGGCAUGCUGGAGGGCUUCCCCCCGCCAUUUCUGCUGUUUUUAAACCAUUGGGAGUCACUGUUGCCAGUCUGCUCCAAGUCGGGCAGAGGUUUACCGGUUCACCUGUGUCUGCUUCAGCCUGGUAGGGUUGUAAUGCCUUCCAGCUUCGGGGGUCCUGGGUAGGAUGGCCGCUGGCUACAAGGCUGGCCCGGGCACAUGGCAGUCUGUUCCUUGGGCUCACCGCACGGUGCGAUUCAGGGGAAUGUGCUCUCCACUCCUAAAGAAAUCUCUUCCGUCCUGGGCUGUGUUAGGAGAUCGUGCUUCGUACGGCACGUCGCCAGAAACCAGGAAGUCCAUUAUCUCAGGGGGCCGUUUUCAUCCAGAGGCAGACGACUCUUUUACUGCAAAGUGUAAAUCCAGCUUUAAUGGGCCAGUGGAGGAGAGCAUUGGCAGCAGGGAAGAGCCUAAUUACUGGUUGGGCAGCUGAAGCCAGGGGAGAAAGAAGACCUCGAGGCAGCAGCCGACACCCACUAGAUGGAGCGGGGCCUUUGCAGCUGUCCUUGCACAUGCAAAUAAAGUGCAUUUGUAUAAUUUGGUGAUA
This is a long non-coding RNA of Hemicordylus capensis (graceful crag lizard), 1536 nucleotides long. RefSeq lists it as uncharacterized. Lineage: Eukaryota; Metazoa; Chordata; Lepidosauria; Squamata; Cordylidae. The transcript has 2 exons. The record is from RefSeq and is a predicted model, not a curated record.